GGCGGCAGGGGGCGGUCCUUCGGGCCGGCGGGCGAGGAAAUGGCGGCGCAGGGCCUGCUCGCGCCCCCUCCCCCGUGCGGCGGCAGCGGGAGCGAGCGCACGGGCCCGCCACCGCCGCCGCCGGCGGGCAUGCGCCGCACGGCCGUUGACCCGCGCGUUGCUGGUGUCCCCCGCCCCGAAGGUGAUGGGCUGGGGCCAGGCGCCGGAGUGUGGCACUGGGCCAAGGAUGAUGGGGUUACAGAACACGGUGAGCAUGGGGGGCUCUUCUUGUCUGCCCUGUAGGACUUUUUAUUUAUUCUUCUCAGGAGGUCUCAAGCAUUGCUCACCGCCUCUGAGAGCUGGGAAAUGUGCUUUGCUUCUGAGGCCAAUGAAAGAGAAACAGCCAUCUGAUGAGGUUUAGGUAGCAGUUGCAAGAGAUUAGAUGCUGUUAUGGGUAAUGAAGUGUGAAGAUGACAAGAUAGAUAAAAAGGCUUUUCAGCUUGAUCAUAUCCUCCACUGCAUGAUGUUACAGAUUUUGUACUCCAGACACAAAUGUUACCUUGGAGUUGAAGUUACAGUAGACGAAUCUACAUGAUAGUACAAUGUAUUGGAAGAACUAAUACAUUAAACAGUAAGAGGACAGCAUCCAUCUCUACACCAGCUUGAGCUUUUGCAGAAAGCAGAAAGACUGUUGGUAGCUCACCAGCUGGUUGGCCUCCACUGUCCCCAGAGACUGCGAUGAACCACCCUAAGUGUUGACUGACUGCACUGCACUUGGAAGGCUUGCCACGACUGCCAAUCACAAGAGUUUCUGUCCUGCUUUGCCAGACAAAGAAGAUUAUAGAAGUCUAGCACAGAGAAGAAUCCAUAUACUAGAUCAUCACCAAGGAUGCAGAGUCUUAAUUCAGCCAUUUCUAAUUUACGGAGACUGUGAAUUACAUUGUUGAAGUUUAAUGAAGCUGUGAAAGUAGCCAAAUGCUCGCAGCCGUGCCACAUGUGCUUAUUCUCAGUUCUGUGUGAGCUCCGCAACAUCUGCAGUAGGUAGCAAGGCGAUAAUGAGUUGGAAUGAGAGGUGUUGCAUAGGCAACUACCAAAAUGUAUACAUCUGUCAGGGUAACAGCUCUGUUUUGAAGUUAUCAAAAAGGGGUUUGUUUAAAAACAAACAAGCACAUCAGGCAAACCCUAUCGACUUCCUGAAAGCACCAUGAAACAGCCGAAGUAUCCAUCUGACAUAAAAAAGAAGCUGGCCCAGGCACCAGCUUGCAAGUAAAGCUCAAAACUGUCAAAACUCCAAUAGAAGCACAUGCUGAGGAGAGGAGUGAAGGGGUUUGGGGUUUUACUCUAACAGUGGAGGAAAUGGCACUUUAUCACCUGCUAAUCCUUACAUGUUAAAUAUAGUUUGGCCAAUUUUAAUUUCAAGAAAUGGAUCUGAAAGAAGCUAAUUGAAAGACAGUUGCCACUUAACGUUUCUAUUUUGAAGUUCAUGUGAAGCAGUGAUGCAAAAAAAACAUCACGGGCAGAUCUUUGAUCACAGGAGCAAGAAUUUAGUUGCAUUCACAGACAUCUUAGGGAGCUGAAAAGACUGACCAGGAGAUGGAACAGGAGACAUUAUGAAUGAGCAGCACAAAAAAAAUUAUGUUCCUCAAGGAGAAUUAUCUAAUAGGUAAAAUAUGACUGGGUGCUAAGAGUUUGUUUUAGUAAAUGCAUUUAGAGUUGCUGCAGUUACUCGAAACAAUUUUCAGGAACCAGUUUUCCAUCAAAAAAUGUUAUUUGUCGAAAUCAACCCAUUCCAUAGGGAAAGCUGUGAUUUCAAAAACAUUUUUAAGGAAAAAUGUUCUACUAUUAAAGCACUGUGUGUCACACUUCUGUUUCAAAUUAAGCAGAUGUAGUUGCAGUGUUGGUAUUACAGUAAUUUGUAUUUCCUUUCAUACACUUUAUAUAGAACAUAGAGACAAUUGAAAAGAUACAUACCAGUGCUUCUGACAUAAUUUUUCUUGUAAAAGUCCCGAUCAGGAGUAGAGCAAUUCAAAAUGCUGGUAUUUCUGUGGAAGAGAAGUUCGUGCUCUCCAGCAGCCCUUUACAGAAGGUGAGCAUUUCUCAGACUGCAAGAUCAUGAUCGGUUCUGGCAAGCAAAAUAAAAACGUGAGAAAAAGCAGCGCUGGUCAGCAGCAAGACACUGCUUCCUCGUUAGGCCAAGAAACUGCAGUUGUUGAAUCUAUGUCUUGACAUUAAAACUAUAGAAUACCUUUAAUUAGUGGGAGCAGAUUCAUCCCUCAAGAGUAAGGUUUAAAUUGUGACAAAAAUUGCUGUUUGUUGUCAUUUGCCUUACCGCAACAGUUUCUGCCAACUCAGAGGUAAAGAAAUGAAUCUCAUAAAUGCCAUGGAAAGACUGCAUUUUCUGAAAGCUUGUGGUCGUGUGAUGAGAAGAAAUAAAUUCCUUUUAUGUCAAGCCUUAACACUGUGACUUCUGUGUGAGUCUUCAGUAGCAUUAGUACUUGUCUUGCACUUCUUCUUAACCUAUUCACUUGGUAUAUUGCAUGUCCCUCCUUCAUAGGAAAUAGUAAUUGUGCCUUAUGCAGAGUGCUUCAAAUAUAAUUUCUACAAGCAAUAUUCAGAGUGCAUUUACAGCUGCCUAUCCAGAAAUAUAAAUAUCAACACCAACGAAUUAUUCUUAUUUCUUUGUUUUCUG
Long non-coding RNA from Rhea pennata, 2668 nucleotides. RefSeq lists it as uncharacterized. NCBI's taxonomy places the organism in Eukaryota, Metazoa, Chordata, Aves, Rheiformes, Rheidae. The record is from RefSeq and is a predicted model, not a curated record. The transcript is spliced from 6 exons.